UACGGAAGGCAGCAGUGGGGAAUAUUGCACAAUGGGCGCAAGCCUGAUGCAGCCAUGCCGCGUGUAUGAAAAAGGCCUUCGGGUUGUAAAGUACUUUCAGUCGUGAGGAAGGUGUUAAGGUUAAUAACCUUAGCAAUUGACGUUAGCGACAGAAGAAGCACCGGCUAACUCCGUGCCAGCAGCCGCGGUAAUACGGAGGGUGCGAGCGUUAAUCGGAAUUACUGGGCGUAAAGGGCACGCAGGCGGUUAAUUAAGUUGGAUGUGAAAUCCCCGGGCUUAACCUGGGAAUGGCAUUCAAGACUGGUUAGCUAGAGUCUUGUAGAGGGGGUAGAAUUCCAUGUGUAGCGGUGAAAUGCGUAGAGAUGUGGAGGAAUACCGGUGGCGAAGGCGGCCCCUGGCAAAGACUGACGCUCAUGUGCGAAAGCUGGGGAGCAAAC
This 437-nucleotide ribosomal RNA is filed under the name uncultured bacterium. RNAcentral describes it as "bacterial SSU rRNA". It matches the Rfam family "Bacterial small subunit ribosomal RNA", at positions 340 to 773 of the family's 1533-position model. The record is from RNAcentral.